AUUCGGUCCGGAGUCAAUGGG
Molecule: microRNA, 21 nt
Filed under: Caenorhabditis elegans
Lineage: Eukaryota; Metazoa; Nematoda; Chromadorea; Rhabditida; Rhabditidae
Description: microRNA mir-2214,a (mir-2214)
Source: RNAcentral